RNAcentral lists this non-coding RNA (164 nucleotides) under human gut metagenome. The record is from RNAcentral.
GGCGCCGCCUUUCGCGGCGCCGGGUAAAAGGGAAACAGGUGAAAGACCUGUGCGAUCUCGUCACUGUGAGCGGGGAGCAGACGGCCAUUUACGUCACUGGUCCAGAAGGACCGGGAAGGCGGCCGGUCGCGUGGAUCCGCAAGCCAGGAAACCUGCCGGAUGUU